AGAGUUUGAUCCUGGCUCAGGGCGAACGCUAGCGGCGCGCCUAACACAUGCAAGUCGUGCGGGAAAGGGCUUCGGCCCUAGUACCGCGGCAGACGGGUGAGUAACACGUGAGCAACCUGUCCCCGGGUCUGGGAUAACCACCCGAAAGGGUGGCUAAUACCGGAUAAAGUCACCGGGCGCAAGCUCGGUGAUGAAAGGGGGCCUCUGCAUAGCAAGCUCCUGCCUGGGGAGGGGCUCGCGGCCCAUCAGCUAGUUGGUGGGGUAACGGCCCACCAAGGCUAUGACGGGUAGCCGGCCUGAGAGGGUGGUCGGCCACACGGGCACUGAGACACGGGCCCGACUCCUACGGGAGGCAGCAGUGGGGAAUCUUGGGCAAUGGGCGAAAGCCUGACCCAGCGACGCCGCGUGGGGGAAGAAGGCCUUCGGGUCGUAAACCCCUGCUCUGGGGGAAGAACCCUGAACGGGUUAAUAGCCCGUUCAGGCUGACGGUACCCCAGGAGAAAGCCACGGCUAACUGCGUGCCAGCAGCCGCGGUAAUACGCAGGUGGCGAGCGUUGCCCGGAAUCACUGGGCGUAAAGGGUGCGUAGGCGGCAGGGCAAGUCGCGGGUUAAAGCCCGGGGCUCAACCCCGGAAAGGCCUGCGAUACUGCCUUGCUUGAGGGCCGGAGAGGCUGGCGGAAUUCCCGGUGUAGGGGUGAAAUCCGUAGAUAUCGGGAGGAACACCGGUGGGGAAGCCGGCCAGCUGGACGGUUCCUGACGCUGAGGCACGAAAGCGUGGGGAGCAAACCGGAUUAGAUACCCGGGUAGUCCACGCCGUAAACGAUGGGUGCUAGGUCUGGGGAGGAAACUCUCUGGGCCGAAGCUAACGCGUUAAGCACCCCGCCUGGGGAGUACGGCCGCAAGGCUGAAACUCAAAGGAAUUGACGGGGGCCCGCACAAGCGGUGGAGCACGUGGUUUAAUUCGAUGCAAAGCGAAGAACCUUACCUGGGCUUGACAUGCCAGGGUUGUACCCCGGUGGAAACACUGGGGGAGCGUGGGUUUUUACUCACGCGCUCUGGCACAGGUGCUGCAUGGCUGUCGUCAGCUCGUGCCGUGAGGUGUUGGGUUAAGUCCCGCAACGAGCGCAACCC
This 1131-nucleotide ribosomal RNA is filed under the name uncultured bacterium. RNAcentral describes it as "bacterial SSU rRNA". It matches the Rfam family "Bacterial small subunit ribosomal RNA", at positions 8 to 1104 of the family's 1533-position model. The record is from RNAcentral.